UCUUGAGAGAAUGGACCGAGGCCUGCGCCCUGCUUCUCUCAGGAGGUGUGGCUAAUGUCAGGUCAAUUCACUUCCUGGGCCUGCGUUUCUGGAUGAAUCCUGACUGAAAUUAGCUUCCAUGGGUAAUCGACUGAGGUCUUCCUUUAUGCCAGAUACACGCCCUCAAAGGACCUCACAUACUCUGUUCUCUUCCCCGAUCUGUUCCCAAUACCACCCUCAAGCCCUGCUCUGCCUGCUUCGUUUCUCCUAAUCCUUUAAGGUUUCAUUCAGGUAUCAUCCUGCCAUUAAUGGUUUCAUACACUUUUUACUUCUUCACAGAACCUGUCUUAAUUAUAAUUCCUCUGAGAUUUAGUAUCUAUUUCUCCCACUAGACUGUCCCUCUCUGAUUCGCUGCAGUUCUAUCCAGAUCCUUUUAAACGGUAAGUGCCGGAUAUAUAUUUGUUGAGUGAAUAAGUGAAUAAAGUAGUAAAUUGGAGCAGAUAACUUCCAAGGUUUCUUUCAGCUCUGGCAUAUCUGCUGUCAGGAUUGUCACUGGUUGGUAUGAAAUUUGAAGCCUGUGAUAGAACAGUGCUUCUCUACCUGAGAUCUCUAAGAGCAUCUGUGUUAUUAUUUACAUCAACAAGGAAUUGAAAUUAACAUACUUUUUUACUCGCCCCAACUCAGAGGUGGCUGUAAAUAAACAUAUGACUUUUAACACAGGUCAUUAAACUUAAACAAAGACAGUCUCAACUAAAACAUGCUCAUUUGUGUACCUUGUAGAAUCAUCUUCCUAACCCCAGGUGGAGCGUGUCUCAGACACUGGGAAACACUGCAUUUUAAUGAAUUUCCACUGCCUCAUUCUGGUCCAACUUAGAAAAAUAGUUGGAAAUUCGAACAUGAUCAUUUUGACCUACCCACAGAGACCAGUUUAGAAAAAGCCAAGCCGCGAUGUUUAGGUUUCAAGCUGGUUUCAGAGCUCCUGUCAUUGUUUCCAGAGACGGAGGUACGAAAGCACACUCACCCAGUCAGUCAUUCCACUGGGCUGAUGACUGUGGCUCCCCACGAGGGAUGCUAGAAGGUGGUACAGCCCUGGUCCUGCCCCGGUCGACCUUCAGGGAGCACAGUCUCUGUCCAGGUAGCUGUGGUCUACACGGCUUCCGGAGAGGGAAGCUAUGGGAGUCACUGUUAGGGAGGUUCUGGAGAGGUCAGAUGUGAACACAGUGCCGGGAACAAAAAGUGAAAGCUCUGUCAGGCUGAGUAGAAGGAGCGGCAGAAACUCUAAAAAGUACUUGCAGAACUGUGCUAUGAGUUACUACCCAUCCUAAGAAGUCAGGAGAAUCGUAUCCUUUGCUAGGCCUGAGAGUUGUUCACUAAAAUGAAAACCAAUCAAUCUGUAAAUAUUCAUCAAAUGCUUAGUGUCU
Molecule: long non-coding RNA, 1400 nt
Filed under: Bos grunniens (domestic yak)
Lineage: Eukaryota; Metazoa; Chordata; Mammalia; Artiodactyla; Bovidae
Description: lncRNA (ENSBGRG00000020592.1)
Source: RNAcentral